UAGUCCUAGCCCUAAACGAUGAGUACUAGGUAAUGGGUCUUAGAUUCAGUGCCGACGCUAACGCAUUAAGUACUCCGCCUGGGGACUACGGCCGCAAGGUUGAAACUCAAAGGAAUUGACGGGGGCCCGCACAAGCGGUGGAGCAUGUGGUUUAAUUCGAUGCAACGCGGAGAACCUUACCUGGGCUUGACAUCCCCGGACAACCUAGGAAACUAGGUCUUCAGGGCAAUCUGACUGGGUGACAGGUGGUGCAUGGCUGUCGUCAGCUCGUGUCGUGAGAUGUUGGGUUAAGUCCCGCAACGAGCGCAACCCUCGUGGUUAGUUACUAACGGUUCGGCCGAGGACUCUAGCCAGACUGCCCGUUUUACGCGGGAGGAAGGUGGGGAUGACGUCAAGUCAUCAUGCCCCUUACGUCCAGGGGCUGCACACGUACUACAAUGGUGCAUACAAAGGGGCAGCAACGCCGCGAGGCUUAGCAAAUCCCAAAAAA
This 490-nucleotide ribosomal RNA is filed under the name uncultured bacterium. Its description in RNAcentral is "bacterial SSU rRNA". It matches the Rfam family "Bacterial small subunit ribosomal RNA", at positions 791 to 1281 of the family's 1533-position model. The record is from RNAcentral.